GAUGAACGCUGGCGGCGUGCCUAAUACAUGCAAGUCGAGCGAACAGAUGAGGAGCUUGCUCCUCUGCCGUUAGCGGCGGACGGGUGAGUAACACGUGGAUAACCUACCUAUAAGACUGGGAUAAUUUCGGGAAACCGGUGCUAAUACCGGAUAAUAUAUUGAACCGCAUGAUUCAAUAGUGAAAGACGGUUUUGCUGUCACUUAUAGAUGGAUCCGCGCCGCAUUAGCUAGUUGGUAAGGUAACGGCUUACCAAGGCAACGAUGCGUAGCUGACCUGAGAGGCUGAUCGGCCACACUGGAACUGAGACACGGUCCAGACUCCUACGGGAGGCAGCAGUAGGGAAUCUUGCGCAAUGGGCGCAAGCUUGACGGAGCAAUGCCGCGUGAGUGAUGAAGGACUUCGGGUCGUAAAACCCUGUUAUUAGGGAAGAACAAAAGUAUAAGUAACACUGCCCGUCUUGACGGUACCUAAACAAAAAGCAACGGCUAACUGCGUG
This 497-nucleotide ribosomal RNA is filed under the name uncultured bacterium. RNAcentral describes it as "partial 16S ribosomal RNA". It matches the Rfam family "Bacterial small subunit ribosomal RNA", at positions 28 to 507 of the family's 1533-position model. The record is from RNAcentral.